Small nucleolar RNA from Arabis alpina (gray rockcress), 88 nucleotides. It matches the Rfam family "Small nucleolar RNA U61". Lineage: Eukaryota; Viridiplantae; Streptophyta; Magnoliopsida; Brassicales; Brassicaceae. The record is from Rfam.
CUGCUAUGAUGAAAAAUACGUGUCCUGAGAUGAGGUUUGUUCUUCAUCGUUGACGGUAUAACACAACCCUCUAAGAAGUUCUGAGCUU